Molecule: ribosomal RNA, 471 nt
Filed under: uncultured Smithella sp.
Lineage: Bacteria; Pseudomonadati; Thermodesulfobacteriota; Syntrophia; Syntrophales; Smithellaceae
Description: bacterial SSU rRNA
Rfam family: Bacterial small subunit ribosomal RNA
Source: RNAcentral
GACGGGGGCCCGCACAAGCGGUGGAGCAUGUGGUUUAAUUCGAUGCAACGCGAAGAACCUUACCUGGGCUUGACAUCCCGGGAAUCCCUUGGAAACAAGGGAGUGCCCUUCGGGGAACCUGGAGACAGGUGCUGCAUGGCUGUCGUCAGCUCGUGUCGUGAGAUGUUGGGUUAAGUCCCGCAACGAGCGCAACCCUUGUCAUUAAUUGCCAUCAUUCAGUUGGGCACUUUAAUGAGACUGCCGGUGACAAACCGGAGGAAGGUGGGGAUGACGUCAAGUCCUCAUGGCCCUUAUGGGUAGGGCUUCACACGUAAUACAAUGGUCGGUACAGAGGGUUGCCAACCCGCGAGGGGGAGCCAAUCCCACAAAGCCGGUCGUAGUCCGGAUCGCAGUCUGCAACUCGACUGCGUGAAGUCGGAAUCGCUAGUAAUCGCGGAUCAGCAUGUCGCGGUGAAUACGUUCCCGGGUCUU